GCCCUGACUGCUAUCGGAUUGAUACUAAGCCAUGCGAGUCUUUGUAGCAAUACAAGGCAGACGGCUCAGUAACACGUAGUCAAUCUAACCUAUGGACGGGGAUAACCUCGGGAAACUGAGAAUAAUACCCGAUAGAUCAUUAUGCCUGGAAUGGUUUAUGGUCGAAAUGAUUUAUCGCCGUAGGGUGGGACUGCGUUCUAUCAGCUUGUUGGUGAGGUAAUGGCCCACCAAGGCUAUAACAGAUACGGGCUCUGAGAGGAGAAGCCCGGAGAUGGGUACUGAGACACGGACCCAGGCCCUAUGGGGCGCAGCAGGCGAGAAAACUUUGCAAUGUGCGAAAGCACGACAAGGUUAAUCCGAGUGUUUUCUGCUAAAGAAAUCUUUUGUCAGUCCUAAAAACACUGAUGAAUAAGGGGUGGGCAAGUUCUGGUGUCAGCCGCCGCGGUAAAACCAGCACCUCAAGUGGUCAGGGAGGAUUAUUGGGCCCUAAAGCAUCCGUAGCCGGCUCUGUAAGUUUUCGGUUAAAUCUAUAUGCUCAACAUAUAGGCUGCCGGGAAUACUGCAGAGCUAGGGAGUGGGAGAGGUAGACGGUACUCGGUAGGAAGGGGUAAAAUCCUUUGAUCUAUUGAUGACCCCCUGGGGCGAAGGCGGUCUACUAGAACACGUCCGACG
This 672-nucleotide ribosomal RNA is filed under the name uncultured marine archaeon. RNAcentral's name for it is "bacterial SSU rRNA". It matches the Rfam family "Archaeal small subunit ribosomal RNA", at positions 20 to 696 of the family's 1478-position model. The record is from RNAcentral.